Empidonax traillii (willow flycatcher) is the source of this 112-nucleotide long non-coding RNA. RefSeq lists it as uncharacterized. NCBI's taxonomy places the organism in Eukaryota, Metazoa, Chordata, Aves, Passeriformes, Tyrannidae. The record is from RefSeq and is a predicted model, not a curated record. The transcript is spliced from 3 exons.
AGCACAGACUCAGCAGUGGGAACGUGGACAGGGGCUCAGGGCUGAGCUGGGUUGCUGCCCCUCUCACCAAACCCCUCUGUGCCCCACGGUGCAGGUGAGUCGGAAGAACACA